RNAcentral lists this ribosomal RNA (253 nucleotides) under uncultured bacterium. Its description in RNAcentral is "partial 16S ribosomal RNA". It matches the Rfam family "Bacterial small subunit ribosomal RNA", at positions 524 to 776 of the family's 1533-position model. The record is from RNAcentral.
UACAGAGGUCUCAAGCGUUGUUCGGAUUCAUUGGGCGUAAAGAGCGUGUAGGCGGCUUGUUAAGUCUUGCGUGAAAUCUCGGGGCUCAACCCCGAGCGGUCGUGAGAAACUGGCAGGCUAGAGUGCGGGAGAGGAGAGUGGAAUUCCUGGUGUAGCGGUGAAAUGCGCAGAUAUCAGGAAGAACACCCGUGGCGAAGGCGGCUCUCUGGAACGCAACUGACGCUGAGACGCGAAAGCGUGGGGAGCAAACAGG